UNUGACUUGAGUGCAGAAGGGGAGAGUGGAAUUCCAUGUGUAGCGGUGAAAUGCGUAGAUAUAUGGAGGAACACCAGUGGCGAAAGCGGCUCUCUGGUCUGUCACUGACGCUGAGGCUCGAAAGCGUGGGUAGCGAACAGGAUUAGAUACCCUGGUAGUCCACGCCGUAAACGAUGAGUGCUAGGUGUUAGGCCCUUUCCGGGGCUUAGUGCCGGAGCUAACGCAAUAAGCACUCCGCCUGGGGAGUACGACCGCAAGGUUGAAACUCAAAGGAAUUGACGGGGGCCCGCACAAGCGGUGGAGCAUGUGGUUUAAUUCGAAGCAACGCGAAGGACCUUACCAGGUCUUGACAUCCCGAUGCUAUUCUUAGAGAUAGGAAGUUACUUCGGUACAUCGGAGACAGGUGGUGCAUGGUUGUCGUCAGCUCGUGUCGUGAGAUGUUGGGUUAAGUCCCGCAACGAGCGCAACCCUUAUUGUUAGUUGCCAUCAUUAAGUUGGGCACUCUAGCGAGACUGCCGGUAAUAAACCGGAGGAAGGUGGGGAUGACGUCAAAUCAUCAUGCCCCUUAUGACCUGGGCUACACACGUGCUACAAUGGUCGGUACAACGAGUUGCGAGCCGGUGACGGCAAGCUAAUCUCUGAAAGCCGAUCUCAGUUCGGAUUGGAGGCUGCAACUCGCCUCCAUGAAGUCGGAAUCGCUAGUAAUCGCGGAUCAGCACGCCGCGGUGAAUACGUUCCCGGGCCUUGUACACACCGCCCGUCACACCACGAGAGUUUGUAACACCCGAAGUCGGUGAGGUAACCUUUUAGGGGCCAGCCGCCUAAGGUGGGAUGGAUGAUUG
RNAcentral lists this ribosomal RNA (842 nucleotides) under uncultured bacterium. RNAcentral's name for it is "bacterial SSU rRNA". It matches the Rfam family "Bacterial small subunit ribosomal RNA", at positions 636 to 1477 of the family's 1533-position model. The record is from RNAcentral.